CCUACGGGAGGCAGCAGUAGGGAAUCUUUCACAAUGGGCGAAAGCCUGAUGGAGCAACGCCGCGUGCAGGAUGAAGGCCUUCGGGUUGUAAACUGCUUUUAUAAGCGAGAAAUAUGAUGGUAACUUAUGAAUAAGGAUCGGCUAACUACGUGCCAGCAGCCGCGGUCAUACGUAGGAUCCGAGCAUUAUCCGGAGUGACUGGGUGUAAAGAGUUGCGUAGGUGGCAUAAUAAGUAGCUAGUGAAAUCUGGUGGCUCAACCAUUCAGACUAUUAGCUAAACUGUUAAGCUCGAGACCGUUAGGGGUAACUGGAAUUUCGAGUGUAGGAGUGAAAUCCGUAGAUAUUAGAAGGAACACCAAUAGCGUAGGCAGGUUGCUGGGACGGUUCUGACACUAAGGCACGAAAGCGUAGGGAACAAACGGGAUUAGAUACCCCAGUAGUC
This 442-nucleotide ribosomal RNA is filed under the name uncultured bacterium. RNAcentral's name for it is "partial 16S ribosomal RNA". It matches the Rfam family "Bacterial small subunit ribosomal RNA", at positions 338 to 795 of the family's 1533-position model. The record is from RNAcentral.